RNAcentral lists this ribosomal RNA (305 nucleotides) under uncultured bacterium. Its description in RNAcentral is "bacterial SSU rRNA". It matches the Rfam family "Bacterial small subunit ribosomal RNA", at positions 337 to 658 of the family's 1533-position model. The record is from RNAcentral.
UCCUACGGGGGGCAGCAGUGGGGAAUAUUGCACAAUGGGGGGAACCCUGAUGCAGCGACGCCGCGUGAGUGAAGAAGUAUUUCGGUAUGUAAAGCUCUGUCAGCAGGGAAGAAGAAAGACGGUACCUGACCAAGAAGCCCCGGCUAACUACGUGCCAGCAGCCGCGGUAAUACGUAGGGGGCGAGCGUUGUCCGGAAUCACUGGGCGUAAAGGGCGCGUAGGCGGUUUAAUAAGUCAGUGGUGAAAACUGAGGGCUCAACCCUCAGCCUGCCACUGAUACUGUUAGACUUGAGUAUGGAAGAGGG